UCACAAGGCGCCCCCGGGGGAUGAUCGGGGGGCCCCCCCCCCCCCCCCCCGUUUCGGUCGCGAGCCCCGCUGUGAUGCUGGCGCGUGCUAAGGACCCUCACCUCAAAGAAAAGAGAACAGCUGCAGACUGAAAGAUGGUGAAAGCUACAAGGCAUUUGAGGACUAACCAUUGUAACAAUAGCUGCCAACCCCUCCUCUUUGUAACUGAAAUGGAUUUGCAACAACAUUUGUCGGAUGAACCAACAAACGCGUGACUUAAAGAACACUACAAAUUAAAAUUGAGAAGACAUCACCCUUCCUGGAUGGUAUCAGGGAUGACUAAAUGAAGGUAAAAUUUGGAAAAUUUAAAGGAUUGGGACAAAAUGGAUGGAGGUGAGGAGAGCAAGGGAGACUAACGGGCCACGAGCCUCACCCAUCAAGAUAGGAAAGUGAUUUGUCUUCAUCACCAUUUUCCUAUUUCCAUUGACCAGGGCGAGUAUUCCUUACCUGCGCGUUGGUUUUCUAUCUGCUCUGUGAUUUGGGAAAUGGGACCCAUUCCUGGUGAACUCCUCAGAGCUGAGGAAGGUAGCAGUUUCCUGACUUUGACGUUGCCCCAAUGAAAUGGAAAACCCUUUCCAGUGAUGUUCACGUGACCCACUUUCUCCAGGUGGGUUCUCGUCAAUUUGAUCCACUGCCUUGGGAAGAGAGGUUGGAUAAGACAAAGCUGAGUGGAGUCCCUCCCAGGCUAUGAGAUAUGGGUUGGCUCAGUGUCAAGGCUCUGACUUCAUCGACUUCAGCUCAGUGGGUUAACUUCCAUUAUGGACCAA
Long non-coding RNA from Herpailurus yagouaroundi (jaguarundi), 806 nucleotides. RefSeq lists it as uncharacterized. The transcript has 3 exons. The record is from RefSeq and is a predicted model, not a curated record. NCBI's taxonomy places the organism in Eukaryota, Metazoa, Chordata, Mammalia, Carnivora, Felidae.